Pipra filicauda (Wire-tailed manakin) is the source of this 766-nucleotide long non-coding RNA. RefSeq lists it as uncharacterized. The transcript is spliced from 4 exons. Lineage: Eukaryota; Metazoa; Chordata; Aves; Passeriformes; Pipridae. The record is from RefSeq and is a predicted model, not a curated record.
ACAGCACUGACAGCACAAACCUCCCUCGAUUUCCAGCCCUCACAUCUUCAGUGAGGCCAAAGUUUCUGGUGAAACCUCUGUUAAUAAAUACCAGGAAGGCUCAGAUCAGUAACCACAGGAAGGAGGAAUGUGUUCCCUUUAAUGAGAAGUUGGAGGUUGCCAGUAGGGGAGGGUUUAUGCUCAACCUUGCCAUUGGGAAAUCACCAGGAAAGACUGGAAGGGGGUUGGUUUUGGCUACGAAUUCACCCUUUGCCCCAAGAGCAGGUGUGACAGGCACUGCCUGGCACACGGGCAGGGAGCUGUGUGCAGGCUGUGGACCACAGAGGAGGCACAGGUUUCCCUUUGCAGGACUGAAGGACCACCUGGUUAUCACCGUGUGCUACCAGAGAAGACCCCCAGUGCUCUCCAGAAAGCCUCUCUGUCUGCUCUCCUGGGGCCGUUUCUAAUAAAGCCAACUACAGAAAACCAGAUUCAGCUUCCUCCAGAUGCAUGGAGACAAGAAGUAGAAGUUUUGCCAGUUCUCUGCAUCCUCCUCUGACUCUGCCCCAGUGAGCCCUUCCUGCUGGCACUUCAGGAUCCACAGUGCAGCUCCAUCGACCAGGUUCUUCCACUGGCAGCAGACCAGGCGACACACCAGCACCAGAUCCACUGCAGGAAUUUCAGAGGCCCCGCCUGCUGAUGGAGCACCGCCGCUCUCCUCGUUAGCGAGGAUCCCCCGCGCUCGGGAGAGGGACGGAGGUACCUUCCCUUUCCCACCGCAGUUCAC